AUUGAACGCUGGCGGCAGGCCUAACACAUGCAAGUCGAACGGUAACAGGAAGAAGCUUGCUUCUUUGCUGACGAGUGGCGGACGGGUGAGUAAUGUCUGGGAAACUGCCUGAUGGAGGGGGAUAACUACUGGAAACGGUAGCUAAUACCGCAUAACGUCGCAAGACCAAAGAGGGGGACCUUCGGGCCUCUUGCCAUCUGAUGUGCCCAGAUGGGAUUAGCUAGUAGGUGGGGUAACGGCUCACCUAGGCGACGAUCCCUAGCUGGUCUGAGAGGAUGACCAGCCACACUGGAACUGAGACACGGUCCAGACUCCUACGGGAGGCAGCAGUGGGGAAUAUUGCACAAUGGGCGCAAGCCUGAUGCAGCCAUGCCGCGUGUAUGAAGAAGGCCUUCGGGUUGUAAAGUACUUUCAGCGGGGAGGAAGGGAGUAAAGUUAAUACCUUUGCUCAUUGACGUUACCCGCAGAAGAAGCACCGGCUAACUCCGUG
Molecule: ribosomal RNA, 490 nt
Filed under: uncultured bacterium
Lineage: Bacteria
Description: partial 16S ribosomal RNA
Rfam family: Bacterial small subunit ribosomal RNA
Source: RNAcentral